AGCAAAGUCUGACAUCUAGAUGGUACAAAAAGGCCUUUGGCAAUGACAAAUGAGUACCACCCACUUUCGUCUUGUUGUAGUCAACUCUCCCUGAAUUUUAUCUUGUUUUUAACAAUUGUCUGACCAUUGUGGCAUCUCAUAAUGAUGAGAAAAACACUGACUGGGGAACUGAGUCAGAUACGGUGGUAGGACUUUCCAUUUUCUAUCUUCUAUAGUCUUCCCAGCAACUCCAUGAAAAUAUUACAGUCAUUGCCUCAUUUAGUAGAUGAAGAAGCCAAAGGCCUGAGAAGCUAAAGGACUUCUCCAGCUCACACAGCAGGGUGUAUCAGAGCCAAUAUACAAACCUAGGCAGAAAUGUCCUAAAUUUCACUCUUGAAGAGUGAGCAGCCUUUGAUCAUCAAAAUAAAAUUUGUAUUUGAUGUCAGGACCAAUUUUACUACCAACCACCCAAUGGCAUCCAGAGUAGGCAAACUGGAUAGUCUUUCUUAGAAACUCAUUAACUGCACAUAUAUUAAUUAUUUAAUUAUAAAAUAAAACAAAUUUGUUUAAAAUAUUAUAAAUCCUCACAAAUUAUGAACUUUAAGAUUCUGGCACCUGGGGGCACCUGGGUGGUAUAGUUGGUUGGUUGUCUGACUCUUGGUUUCAGCCCAGGUCGUGGUCUCAAGGUCAUGAGAUGAAGCCUUGUGUUGGCUCUGUGCUCAGUGUGGAGUCUACUUGGGACUCUCUCCCUCUGCCCCUGCCCCUGCCCAAUCCCUAUAAACAUAAAUAAAGAGAUCCUAAAAACAAAUUUUUGUCAUCUGACACCUGAAAGACAUAGCCUGGACCUUACAAGCUGCUGCAAGUAGGAAUUUUAGCUGUUUCAUUCUGACUUUCAUCUGAAAUAUUUUUUUUUCACAUUUUACAUAUGAGAGACCAUAUGUUACACACAAGAACAAAAGCAUAGAAUUAUAAAUUUCAUUGUAGCUAAAAUAUAUAGCUAUUUUUAUGAAAUGGUAUUUUCAGUUCAGAUACAUUCAAAGGACAAAUACGAAAUAGGAACAGGAGAGAAAUCUUAUUUAAUCAGAUAUUCAGUAAGGUUCUAACUUGUGAGCGAUGUCAGAUUGAUUCCCAUAUGAUGUAACAAAUCUAAAUAACUAACAGAGCUAAACACAUCUAAAUACCCUCCCUUGACCCCCUGCUCCAUCCUAACCACAACGUUCCCUUGCAAAUGGUGGGCACAUUGGCUUAAACCUGGGGGUUAUGGAGAAGGCUUCAAGGAGUCCUCACUGUCCCCACAAGUUGCCUGGAGUGGCAGUGAGGACUGGAGGGUGUGGUGCUGCAGUGGCCAGCCCUUCCUGCUGUGGUGUCACAGACCAAACUCUGGAGGUCACGGGAGUCACGCCCCUUGAGAGCAAUGGAAGGGAAAAGGAAAUGAUAGUAACUGCUGGAUUUAUUCAAGGUAUUGUACGGCAUGGGGGACACAGUAAACGGUGUUGUCAUAGUGUUGUAUGAUGUGGCAAAUAGUAGUUACAUGCGUGGCCAGCACAGCAUAAGGAAUGCUCAGACUCAUCAAAUCACUAUACUGUUAAUCUGAAACCAACGUAACACUGUGUUUCAACUUACUUUAGUGAAAAUAUAUAUAAAAAUUAAAUUAGUCAGUUCUUAAUUAAACCAUCACGUUCUUCAGGUCUAGCAAUAUUCUAGUUUCUACUAAACAUUAUAAAUCCAUUCAUAGUAUAUGUUAUAACUUCUCUUGUGGUUUUGAGGAAAGGGAUGCUCAACCUGGAAUAAAUUCUUCCAAGUACAAUGACUGACUUUUUAGCAGACUUGAAGUUUGACUGCCAUGAAUGGACAUGGUUUCAUGUGAGGUAAAGCUUUAAAUACUCUUUUACAAGCUUAGCUAGAAACACUGAUCUAAGUGAGAGAUCUAAUUGUGUACUUUCUUGGUCAUAAGUGUUUAGGGUGUUUUUGAAUGGGGGUAAAAGCUAAUUCAUAUGCAUUACUGAGAAAAUUAACUAAUUUCCUGUAAAUUUGUCAAACAGCUUCCAGCUUAUCAGCAAUCAUCUACUGUGCACCUUGCACGUACCUGCCACUGGGUCAGUACUGGACUUGACUCAGUAAGUUAAUCUGAAAGAAAUGAUAAAGAUUAGGGAAAACUCAUUCUCCAUUUGAAUAAAUGCUUCAGAAGAAUCUACAGUGGAUUCUUAGAAUACACAUUUAAUUCCCAAGGGGCACCCGAAGGAACAUGAAACCUAUUUUAAGAAGCACAAUUUGGCUGGAUGUGUAGGAGAUAAAGUGCCUAAAUGUAAGGCUACAUACAGACAGAAGAAAAACAGCAAUAUAUUAUUGCUCCAUCAACCUAAACAGAAUAUGCUGGGCUUUAUUUUCAUGUUGAUUUUGGCAUGAACCACAAUAUACUUGAAUCAUUCUGAAAGAUGAUAAUAGGAGAAUUUGUGUUGGCAACGGGCCAAAUAAAAGCCGAGGAUAAAAAGCAGUAGCCACAAGUGUUUACUUUGGUCUAGAGAGAUUUUGCUAAUCAGAGAGCCAUGGGCAAUUCCCAUUAGAAAAUACACUCUCUCUCAGUCAGUGACAAAAUCUGGAGAGAUCUAGGGGAAGCAAGAGGACACAUGAAGUGGUAACACAGCUUCACACAAGUGAAGUCUGAAGUGGAGAUAAAUCCUGCUGGGCAGUUUCUUUCUCAGCCUCAGGGACACCCACAGUAUGGCAUCUGUGCAGCCUUGCGGAGCUGCCCUGAGAAGUAAAAAGCUUUUAGGAAAGCUUUCCAAGGGACUUGACAAGCACAGCUUUAAGAGAUGGCUUGUCCCCAAGCUGAGACUUUGUUCUCUUAGCUGCACUGGUUGCUCUUCAGACUUUUAGACUUUUCUCAGGAAUUCAGAGGCCAAAAGAAUGGUACUAAGAACAAAUAUAUGUUCUUACACACAGCCAUGACUGACAACAUCUCACUCCGAAUAUAUCACUGUAUCAUACUUAAAACACCUAAAGAAAAACUACCAAUCUCCUCCAGAACACCACCCAACAGACCCUUUCUCAAGUGGGCUCCCUUGAAGGGACAGUGGCAUAACCACCUUAUGGCAAUCAUUACCGAUCCAAGAAACACCAUUAGUUCCCAGUGAAAUGUUCAGUUGUCUUCCAAGGUAUAAGGAACAUAAGAACACUUACAGUUAGUUUAACUAAAGCUACAGUUAUUCUAUGUAAUGAACAAUCGUUUAAUUUGAAAUCAUGUCAUCCCAUUUUGUGUGUGUGUUUAAAAAGCUCUUCAUUUAAAAAAUAACGGUAAAAAACCCCUAGUUUUUAAAAAUGGUUUUGCAUUUUAAGUCUUUAUUUGGCCAAAUUAGGAUGCCUUAAUUGAUAAUAUUUGCCAAUACUGAUCUUACUUUUGUAGUGGAUUGAGCCAUAAAAUUAAAAAGCCCGGGAACUAUUUCAAAUGGUAGAUUUAGCAACAAAAAUUUGGCCUUCCAGACUUUCCACGUUAAGUAUAGGAAAAAAAGUGUAAGGAAGAAGAAUGAACCUUUGUGAACUGGAGGAACUGUAAUGUGUGUAUACAAGAAAAUUGUGAAAAAGGAAACAGUAUGCAAAUUAAACCAGAUGGCACUUUAUUUAUAAAAAUAGGUAAAAUGACAAAAGUACUAUCACUGAGUGUUGGAGUGGGUGGGUGUAAAGAGCAGGCAUUGUCAUAUCCCACUUACAGCAAUGGGUGUGGAUAUAAAUAUGCUCAACUCCCAUUGUUAGUGGCUAUCAAAAGACCUGUCGGUGCACAUUACUUCCACACCAAAUUUCUAUAUGUAGGAAUUUACUUAAAAAAUAGUUAUGGAUUAUCAAAUGAUUGAACUCCCAGGAGGCUCUCCUUAGAAGUAUUCAUAUCAUUAAACAGAUCAGAAAAUAUCCAGCGUACAGAAAUAAGAAGAUGGUUUUAAAAAAAAUCAUGCGGCCUCUAAAACAGAAUAUUACAUAGCAUUAAUAUGGUGUUAAAAUGUGUGAUAAUUUUGAAAGAAUUUUACAAAAUAUUGCUAAUCAGGGGAAAAAACAGAUCCAAAACCUUCUGUGUAGUAUGAUUUAUAGAUAGAGAGACAGAGAUAGAGAGUGAGAAACCUAAAAAUGUAUAUAACAAAACAACAGCUAGGUGGUAAUAUUAAAACAUUUCCCCCUUUUUUGAUGAGUGUUAUGAGUUCAAUUGUGUCCCCAGAAAAGAUAUAUUGAUGAUAAAAAAACAUGUUGAUAUUUUAACCCCAAGCACGUCAAAUUGUUAUCUUAUUGGGAAACAAGGGUUGUAACAGGUAUAAUUUUUUAAGAUGACUUUGUAUUGGGGUGGAGCAGGCUCUCAGCCCAAUAUGGCUGGUGCCCUUACGAGAAGCCAUCAUGAAGACAGAGACACAAAGAAAAAACACCCUGUGACAACAGAAGCAGGGCCUGGAGUGAAGCAGCUGUCAGCCAAGGAACAUUGAGAUCAACCACCACCAGAAGCUAGAAAGAGGCAAGGAAGGAUUCCACCCAGAGACUCAGAGGGAGCAAAGCUUUGUGGACACCUUGAUUUUGGACUUCUACCCUCUGGCGCUGUGAAAGAAGUUUCUAUUUAUUUUAAGCUACCCAGUUUAUGUACUUUGCUAUAUGGCUGCUCUGGGAAACUAAUACAGUGGUAACACAUUCAGGAAACCACAAAAACAUGAAUUCACAGUUCAAGGAAUUUGUGAAAGCAGGUCCUAUAUGACUACACCAGGAGUUGCCCUAAUGACUCUUCCCAAUCUUCAUCCCUAGCCCCUUUCCCACAGAUAACCACUAUCAUGAUUUCUAACCCUCUAAUUUUUUGCUGUAGAAAAUGCACUUAUAAAUGGAACCAGAUAGUAGGCAUUCCUGUAUGGCUUCUUUCACCCAGUAUGUUUCUUCUUUCACCCAAUAUGGUUUUAAACCACAUAUAUACCAUAAUCUAUGCUUCCAUUUAUCCCUGAUGGAUACUUAGGGUUCUUUGCA
RNAcentral lists this long non-coding RNA (4965 nucleotides) under Canis lupus familiaris (dog). RNAcentral's name for it is "lncRNA (ENSCAFG00000054119.1)". The record is from RNAcentral. Lineage: Eukaryota; Metazoa; Chordata; Mammalia; Carnivora; Canidae.